GCUUCUUCCCAAUCCAGCUCCAAAGUUUCAUUCCAAGGCAUUCUUCCUUGGCAGAUCUACCUUCCUGUGCCCUGUCAGGGUCUUUGGGUAUCCCACCUUCUCCCAGGGCAGAAUACUAGUGGCCAGUACCCAGAUUCCAGCUGUCUCCAUAUCAAAGGAGUCACCAAUCAAGGGUCACAUGAGACAAGAGCAGCUGGUGGGACAUCAGAUGGGCCUAGCAAGUCACAAGCCAAUGCCCCUUCAAGGUAUGCUGGAGCACAGGACACUCAGUGCCCACAGCUUCUAGCCUCCAGUGAGGUGGAAUCUCCACUCAGCGAGCUAAAGAAGGACACCCAUGCAGCUGGCUGCCACUCACCCAUACCUGGAGGGAUCGGGCUUCCUUGCCACCUCUAUGCAGCCUCUGGCAACCUGAGUGGCAGAAACCAGCUCAGGUUUCUGAUUUUAAUGAUUUCCUGAAUUCAUUCCAUUUCCUACCUCGGGGAAAGGAGGAGAGGCGAUCCUCUUGGAAAUUCAUAUAAUUGCUUUUAUUUGAUUUUUAUUAAAAU
This is a long non-coding RNA of Nannospalax galili (Upper Galilee mountains blind mole rat), 545 nucleotides long. RefSeq lists it as uncharacterized. Lineage: Eukaryota; Metazoa; Chordata; Mammalia; Rodentia; Spalacidae. The record is from RefSeq and is a predicted model, not a curated record. The transcript has 3 exons.